RNAcentral lists this ribosomal RNA (1402 nucleotides) under Mycolicibacterium phocaicum. RNAcentral describes it as "bacterial SSU rRNA". It matches the Rfam family "Bacterial small subunit ribosomal RNA". Lineage: Bacteria; Bacillati; Actinomycetota; Actinomycetes; Mycobacteriales; Mycobacteriaceae. The record is from RNAcentral.
CACAUGCAAGUCGAACGGAAAGGCCCCUUCGGGGUACUCGAGUGGCGAACGGGUGAGUAACACGUGGGUGAUCUGCCCUGCACUUUGGGAUAAGCCUGGGAAACUGGGUCUAAUACCGAAUAGGACCACGCGCUUCAUGGUGUGUGGUGGAAAGCUUUUGCGGUGUGGGAUGGGCCCGCGGCCUAUCAGCUUGUUGGUGGGGUAAUGGCCUACCAAGGCGACGACGGGUAGCCGGCCUGAGAGGGUGACCGGCCACACUGGGACUGAGAUACGGCCCAGACUCCUACGGGAGGCAGCAGUGGGGAAUAUUGCACAAUGGGCGCAAGCCUGAUGCAGCGACGCCGCGUGAGGGAUGACGGCCUUCGGGUUGUAAACCUCUUUCAAUAGGGACGAAGCGUGAGUGACGGUACCUAUAGAAGAAGCACCGGCCAACUACGUGCCAGCAGCCGCGGUAAUACGUAGGGUGCGAGCGUUGUCCGGAAUUACUGGGCGUAAAGAGCUCGUAGGUGGUUUGUCGCGUUGUUCGUGAAAACUCACAGCUUAACUGUGGGCGUGCGGGCGAUACGGGCAGACUAGAGUACUGCAGGGGAGACUGGAAUUCCUGGUGUAGCGGUGGAAUGCGCAGAUAUCAGGAGGAACACCGGUGGCGAAGGCGGGUCUCUGGGCAGUAACUGACGCUGAGGAGCGAAAGCGUGGGGAGCGAACAGGAUUAGAUACCCUGGUAGUCCACGCCGUAAACGGUGGGUACUAGGUGUGGGUUCCUUCCUUGGGAUCCGUGCCGUAGCUAACGCAUUAAGUACCCCGCCUGGGGAGUACGGCCGCAAGGCUAAAACUCAAAGGAAUUGACGGGGGCCCGCACAAGCGGCGGAGCAUGUGGAUUAAUUCGAUGCAACGCGAAGAACCUUACCUGGGUUUGACAUGCACAGGACGCCGGCAGAGAUGUCGGUUCCCUUGUGGCCUGUGUGCAGGUGGUGCAUGGCUGUCGUCAGCUCGUGUCGUGAGAUGUUGGGUUAAGUCCCGCAACGAGCGCAACCCUUGUCCUAUGUUGCCAGCGGGUUAUGCCGGGGACUCGUAGGAGACUGCCGGGGUCAACUCGGAGGAAGGUGGGGAUGACGUCAAGUCAUCAUGCCCCUUAUGUCCAGGGCUUCACACAUGCUACAAUGGCCGGUACAAAGGGCUGCGAUGCCGUGAGGUGGAGCGAAUCCUUUCAAAGCCGGUCUCAGUUCGGAUCGGGGUCUGCAACUCGACCCCGUGAAGUCGGAGUCGCUAGUAAUCGCAGAUCAGCAACGCUGCGGUGAAUACGUUCCCGGGCCUUGUACACACCGCCCGUCACGUCAUGAAAGUCGGUAACACCCGAAGCCGGUGGCCUAACCCUUGUGGAGGGAGCCGUCGAAGGUGGGAU